UAUGUCCAUAUGGGAGAUAUAAAAACAUACACGUUUAUGCUAUGGAAAAAGCACAUGGCUAUAAGAAAGUUAAAGAUCUGUCAGCAUGACAUGGAGCUAAGGAACAGAAUAAUAAAAAAAAUGAUCGCCAUUCCCACCAAAUUUGUUUCAUCGAACAAAUCGCCUUAAUAACAUUUUGCUUGAAAACCACUGUUCAUUUUGUCUCGUUGUAGGUAAUAUUUAUUAUUAGUUAAUUUAAUAUUAAUUAAUAUUUAUAUAUAUAUAUUUAUUGUACUUAUUUAUAUUUAUUAUAAAAUUAAUUUUAAUUAAUAUCAAAUAAAUAUGGUGCGAUGC
Molecule: long non-coding RNA, 333 nt
Organism: Aethina tumida (small hive beetle)
Lineage: Eukaryota; Metazoa; Arthropoda; Insecta; Coleoptera; Nitidulidae
Exons: 2
Source: RefSeq, a predicted model, not a curated record